UACGUAGGGUGCGAGCGUUGUCCGGAAUUAUUGGGCGUAAAGAGCUUGUAGGCGGUUUGUCGCGUCUGCCGUGAAAGCCCGGGGCUUAACCCCGGGUCUGCAUUCGAUACGGGCAGACUAGAGUGUGGUAGGGGAGAUCGGAAUUCCUGGUGUAGCGGUGAAAUGCGCAGAUAUCAGGAGGAACACCGGUGGCGAAGGCGGGUCUCUGGGCCGAUACUGACGCUGAGGAGCGAAAGCGUGGGGAGCGAACAGG
This 253-nucleotide ribosomal RNA is filed under the name uncultured bacterium. RNAcentral's name for it is "partial 16S ribosomal RNA". It matches the Rfam family "Bacterial small subunit ribosomal RNA", at positions 524 to 776 of the family's 1533-position model. The record is from RNAcentral.